GAAAAAUGAAGAUAAUUUCAUUCCUUCUUAUUACAGUGAAGACUUCAGAUCCAACUCUGAUUUCACUCUAAUU
Chrysolophus pictus (golden pheasant) is the source of this 73-nucleotide small nucleolar RNA. The record is from Ensembl. Lineage: Eukaryota; Metazoa; Chordata; Aves; Galliformes; Phasianidae.